GUGAACGCUGGCGGUAGGCCUAACACAUGCAAGUCGAACGGCAGCACAGUAAGAGCUUGCUCUUACGGGUGGCGAGUGGCGGACGGGUGAGGAAUACAUCGGAAUCUACUUUUUCGUGGGGGAUAACGUAGGGAAACUUACGCUAAUACCGCAUACGACCUACGGGUGAAAGCAGGGGAUCUUCGGACCUUGCGCGAUUGAAUGAGCCGAUGUCGGAUUAGCUAGUUGGCGGGGUAAAGGCCCACCAAGGCGACGAUCCGUAGCUGGUCUGAGAGGAUGAUCAGCCACACUGGAACUGAGACACGGGCCAGACUCCUACGGGAGGCAGCAGUGGGGAAUAUUGGACAAUGGGCGCAAGCCUGAUCCAGCCAUACCGCGUGGGUGAAGAAGGCCUUCGGGUUGUAAAGCCCUUUUGUUGGGAAAGAAAAGCAGCAGGUUAAUACCCCGCUGUUCUGACGGUACCCAAAGAAUAAGCACCGGCUAACUUCGU
This 490-nucleotide ribosomal RNA is filed under the name uncultured bacterium. RNAcentral's name for it is "partial 16S ribosomal RNA". It matches the Rfam family "Bacterial small subunit ribosomal RNA", at positions 29 to 506 of the family's 1533-position model. The record is from RNAcentral.